Molecule: ribosomal RNA, 572 nt
Filed under: Glaciambulata neumayeri
Lineage: Eukaryota; Metazoa; Cnidaria; Hydrozoa; Trachymedusae; Ptychogastriidae
Description: partial large subunit ribosomal RNA
Rfam family: Bacterial large subunit ribosomal RNA
Source: RNAcentral
GUCUCUAAGAAUUAUUAGAGAUGGGACCUGGUCAGUGAAGUAAUUUAAACACACGCCUUAGCGUGAGGGUGAUAAUGUAGCAUAAUAAUUUGGCAUUUAAUUGAUGUCUGGAAUGAAAGGUGAAACAAUCUUUACAUUGUCUCUUCUAUAAAUCAUAGUAAUUUAAAAUUUUAGUUAAGAUCCUAAUUUAAAUCUGUAAGACGAAAAGACCCUGUUAAUCUUUACUAUAAACUUUAAUUAUCUAUAGUAGGUUACUAAAAGUAGCAUUUUAUAGAUUGAUAGUUUAGCUGGGGCGGCUGAUUACUAAAAAUAACGUAAUUAAUUUUUAUCUAGUUUAAUUAGGUCUAAAAAAAUUUAUCUUAUAAAUUAAUUUUUAUUUAAAUAUAAGAAAUGACCUUUAUAAACUGACAAAUUUUAUAAAAUUAAUAAAUAAAAGAUACUACAGGGAUAACAGUGUAAUUGAAAGAAAGAGAAUGAAAUCAAUCUUUUAGUUUGCCACCUCGAUGUUGUAUUGGAUUAUCCAUAUAAGAGAAAAAACUAUAAGGGUUGGAUUGUUCAUCCAUUAAAAAUCU